UUGGAGGGCAAGUCUGGUGCCAGCAGCCGCGGUAAUUCCAGCUCCAAUAGCGUAUAUUAAAGUUGUUGCAGUUAAAAAGCUCGUAGUUGAACUUCGGGGUUUACCCAUUGGUCAGGCUUAAUUGUCUGUACUGGUGAGAUAAAUCUCUACCUUCUGAGGAACUUUCAUGUCAUUAAUUUGGUGUGAUUGGAAAUCAGGACUGUUACUUUGAAAAAAUUAGAGUGUUUAAAGCAGGCUAACGUCUGAAUACAUUAGCAUGGAAUAAAGAAAUAGGACGGAUUGAUUCUAUUUCGUUGGUUUCUAGGAUCACCGUAAUGAUUAAUAGGGAUAGUUGGGGGCAUUAGUAUUCAAUUGUCAGAGGUGAAAUUCUUGGAUUUAUUGAAGACUAACUACUGCGAAAGCAUUUGCCAAGGAUGUUUUCAUUAAUCAAGAACGAAAGUUAGGGGAUCGAAGACGAUCAGAUACCGUCGUAGUCUUAACCAUAAACUAUGCCGACUAGGGAUCGGACGAAGUUAAUUUUAUAAUGACGCGUUCGGCGCCUUACGGGAAAC
RNAcentral lists this ribosomal RNA (551 nucleotides) under Diversispora celata. RNAcentral describes it as "SSU rRNA". It matches the Rfam family "Eukaryotic small subunit ribosomal RNA", at positions 548 to 1098 of the family's 1831-position model. The record is from RNAcentral. Lineage: Eukaryota; Fungi; Glomeromycota; Glomeromycetes; Diversisporales; Diversisporaceae.